This 73-nucleotide transfer RNA is filed under the name Plasmodium yoelii. RNAcentral's name for it is "tRNA PY17X_0216000". It matches the Rfam family "tRNA". Rfam says of the family: Transfer RNA (tRNA) molecules are approximately 80 nucleotides in length. Their secondary structure includes four short double-helical elements and three loops (D, anti-codon, and T loops). Lineage: Eukaryota; Apicomplexa; Aconoidasida; Haemosporida; Plasmodiidae. The record is from RNAcentral.
CGGGCAUGGUCUAGUGGUUAUGACGCCUGCUUUACACGCAGGAGAUCCCGAGUUCGAUCCUCGGUGCCCGUAU